Molecule: small RNA, 3038 nt
Filed under: Rattus norvegicus (Norway rat)
Lineage: Eukaryota; Metazoa; Chordata; Mammalia; Rodentia; Muridae
Description: uncharacterized LOC100910343
Source: RNAcentral
CUGCCCUUGGCCCUGUGAAUGAUUCCUCCCCCAUGCUUCUGCUUCCAUGCUGAAGUAGAUCACUGCAGUCCCAUGGUCGUCUCCAGUCUGCAGUAGAUCCGGGUCUUCUCUUCCCUCCCACACCUUUAGCACUUUAGAGGAAGUUCUGGCCUGGGGUCCCAUGGAAUUCCAUCCCAGAUGAGCAUGCUUGGCAGUUUCUCAGAUUGAGUUGCAGCGUCAUCGGGUUUGGGGCGAGCAAAGCAGGCGCGAGGCCUCCCCCUAUUUCACACCCAGAGCACGUGGAACGCUCAACUGACUUUCCGGUGGUCUCCGCCGCCACCUCUUAGUUCAAUGUUUCUGCUGGCAGGUCCCAGACUGUUCAAUGCCUCUCUCUGAACUGGGAAUGAAGAGUUGAGGACCACUGGAUGCUGUGAAGCACCUUUUAGAAGGCUAAGCCUCAGAAGAACAAGAUCGGAAAGCAAAACAGGAAAGUUUGUGAAGCGCCAUUCAAACAUGAGCCCUACAGGUCCUCCUGCCACCCGCCUCUUUCCCACUUUCAUCUCAUCUGGGAAGGAUCAACUGCAGGAGGUGGAUGAGAAAGGAAGCAGCAAGGUCUGCUCAAGUCCAGCUCACCUGACAUACCCUGCUGUCCAACCCCACGUGUGCUGCUGUGGAUGCUGGGAGCAGCUGCAGCGUCACAGAGGAAAUCCCCUUUGACUUGGGAUCCAGUGAGACAUCACCUGAUUACAUAGGCUCCAUAAUACUCCCUCAGGACAGGAGAACCAGAGAUGAGAUGUCAGGAGGAGAUCCCCUGAGAAGCUGUCACUGGACCCUAUCAUCAGUGAGCACUGGCCGCAGCCAGGCGGCCCCCAACAGCCUCCGACACCACCAGACGAAGGGGCUGAAAGGAGGUGGGGGUGCAGAUUGUUCGCUUGUUUCCCACUCUAUGUUGUUGCCUCUCUAUCUCAGAGGAAAACAGCACAUUUCCCAGGGGUGAAAACAGGCCCAGCUCUGUGGUCGUCAAACCACCAGGGCUGGGGGGUGGCCUGGUAUGGGGAACCCCAAGAGUGACAGGAAGGAGCCAGGCCGGAAUUCCAGGAGCCUGUCUGCUCAAACACCUGUUGGCAUCCAGACAACCCUGGGAGCCAGGCACAAGCUCGCCUUCCUCUCCUCUAGCUGCUGGAUCUGAGCUAAUAGCACCUUCACUCUUUAGUUCAACAUGAAGCCAGUACUGUCCUCUGGGGGAUGUGAUCCACAUGGCUUCCACCUUAUGAAGCUUCAUCCCUCCAGUCUCUGUAAGAUAUUGGGAUGGAACGCCCACAGUGAGAGAACUGAGUGUCCCACUGGACUCAGGGGCUUCACCAGUUCGCCCCUCCCUCAUCCUCACCAACUUUAUCACUGACCAGCGCAGAGACUGUGCCUCCUUCCUGCAAGCACCAAAGGUGCUGGUCCCUAGCCCCAGGAUUCCAGAAACUGGCGGAAUUUUUCCUGUCCCGUGGAGGGAUAUCUUGACUUAUAUUUUGACUAUACGUUUGAGAUUUUUCUGCUACACUGAGGCAAGGUAAGUUGGUAUUCUCAGGCUUGGGACUCAACCACUGUUCUUUACAAAGCCAGUAGCUGUGGGACUACUUUGUUCCCAGCUUAGGGACCAGGCAUAGGAGGAUGUCUUGAGGACUGUGUGACUGCAAAUAUCAGCUACAUGGACCCCUGCUGGCUUCUCCAGAACACUGUGGAAGGGUUUGAGAAUAUGUCCCCAGCUGAUCCCUGCAAAGUCGAUGCAGAGCUGCAGCUGCGCCUACCCCUGGACAACAUGGCUGGGGGGAAGGGCAGUGUCUCUCUACUUCGUCCCAGGUCACUGCUGAUGUGAAGAUGAGGGACUUGGGAAUAUCCACUUGGACAAUCUCUCCUUGGCCUUAAAGGGCUGGUCUGCCCUGAAAGAGUCACAGCUCAGAGAGGCUGCUCUUGAGAUCACAAGUUCUAACGAAACAUAGAGAACUCCAUAGCUGUCACAUGCUUCUGCGUGGCUACCUGGAUGGCUUAGAAGACACUGUAAUUGAACCCCAAGGGCUCUCGUGUCUGUGACUGAAAAGACAAAUCAUGCAGAUGAUGCAUAAAGAGAUGAGAAAGAUUUAAUACCCUCAGCAGGUAAGGAAUCAAUUGAGCCGCUAUCCCCUCGGAGGGAAGCGUGGGCGUAUUUCACUCAGGGACCUUAAAUACAUUCCUGGAUGAGUAGCCAUUCAUAAGCAUGCUUGGCCAAGGAGCUUAUGGCCAUGCACAGUUUAAGGUAACGGAGCACACGUUUAGAUUUAAGUGAUGUCGAGAAAGAGUCUCCCACAAAAGUGCUCACCUUGCUUUGUGGCCAACAGCACCGCUGUGGGCACUUGGCGUUGUGGGCACAGGACUCUCAUGGAGUCCGAACCCCUGGUGAGCUUUGUCCACGUGACGCACUGAAGUCAGAAGCAGAAGGCUGCUUAGGCAUGUCAAGAAGAUGGCGGAAGGAUGUUUUGAAUUUCAGUUUGUGCCCGUCCCUUCUCCCCUCAGACUUGGUCUCCUCGUUUCUUCUGUGUUGUUCUGUCAGGGAUAAAGACAGUUCUGAAACCUCAUUUUUGAUGGCUGCUGUUAACCUAAACAACUCUCAUCCCCCAAGAAGAGGGCCUGACCUCAGGGAUGGUGCUGCUCAUGGCUCCUUCGUCUUCAGAGACGCAGCAGGGACGCUGCUACUGUGUGACAGUGCAUGGCUGUUUCCAUGUGCUGCUUCGCCUUUGUCUGCAAGGAUCUGUCUCCCCACUUGCAGAGCACAGAGGUGUCCAGGUGGCACUAACUGUCCCCACCCCUUCUCCAGGCUCCUUUCUGCUGUUCCAGGACAGCCUGCCCUGUGCUGGUAUAUGUUCUGUCAGGCUUCAAGCUCCUUCCCACCCUGGGCUGCCCACAAACACAGUGGAAAACACAGCUCAGCCUUGUAAGCCUUUUAAGAGCCAGACCCUCUCCAUUUGCUGAGUAAACUUGCCCAGGGUUAAAAUACCCCUUGCCCUAGGAAUAAAGACAACAUAAAGUGAAAA